ACCUUUGAUAACUAUUAACACCACUGGGUCGAUGCCACUGCUGGUUGACGUUUCGUCCCCGAGGGUAUCACCAGCCCAGUAGUCAGCAAUUCGGUGUUGACAUGAAUAUAAAUUAUUUUGUCAUUUAUACUGUUUGCAAAAGUAUGAAUUAUUCAAAAUACUAAGGAUUUUCAAAUCCCAGGCAUAGAUUACCUUAGCCGUAUUUGGCACAACUUUUUUUAAUUUUCGGUCCACAAUGUUCUUCAAUUUUAUACUUGUUUGGUUUUCUAACAACAAAUGUAUUUUGAUUUAAGCGUCACUGAUGAGUCUUAUGAAGACGAAACGCGCGUAGGGCGUACUAAUUUAUAAGCCUGGUACCUUUGAUAACUAUUAGUCUUGUGAAAUAUUGAUAUCAUUCAAAACCUUAUCCUAAAUUAACAAAAUAUGAAUCUAUUUUAAUACCAAAACAUUCAUCAAAAAAAUCCAUAAAGUGUAUUCUUUUGGUGGAUUAACCUAAUUAAAGAGAAAUAUGCGUCUACAAGACAGGAUAACAAUACUAGUACUUUGCCAAAACCAUAAAACUGUUUAAAAAUUACAUAAACAGAUUUUUGGAACCAUGGAUGUUAUAUUCAUAUAAAAACUGCAUAGACAAUUUUUUAAAUGAUAAAUGACAAAAUAAUGUUCUACAGUUUAAAGAACCAAAUUUCAUAAUUUUACGCAUUAAAUGUAUGUAUCGUGUUGUUUUGUUUUUAUUACAACAGCACUGGUUUGAUACCUUCUGGUAAACUAUCAGUCCCCAUGUGUAUCAUCAGCUCACGUGUCAGUAUUCCGGAACAGACAUGAUUUAUAACAAACCUUUCUAAACUUUUUCGUUUAGAAAUUUUUAAAUUACCAAGAAACUAAGGUUUUGAUUCUCCCCAGCAAAUUUGACCGUUGAAGGAUUUGGCCAAUAUUUCAGAUUCCUCUUGGUUAUAUUGCUCUUCUACUGUUUCGGAUCUCAUACAUCCUUGGCUUUUUGAUAUGCGGCUUUGUGUUCCCCAUGAAGUAUAUGUAAAAGACAACAUAAUUUUGAACGCAUGAAAUUUAUAAUUUACCAAUUGUUUUAUGACAUUAUAAAACAUAUGUAGUAAAACAGAAAAUAUUGUUACAGACUUAUCACUUUAAUAGAAAACCGUUUAUGGUUACUUCAGGGGUAAAAUUAUGUAACAGUAGGUAGUAAAUAUAUGAUCAAAAGUACCUUAAUCCAUUACCUACAUACACCGAGAUUUGAUAAACUACCAAUGGAAUCGAACGAAUACCAUACGCAGGGAGACCGGUUUGUCAACUGUAAUAUACAAAUGAGGAAAUGUGAUUGCCAAUCAAACAAUUAUCCACCAGUGGCAAAACAACGAGAAUAAAGGCAACUGUAGUUCACCGUACCAUGUAAAAAGUAAAACAACGAGAAUGAAGGCAACUGUAGUUCAUGUACCAUGUAAAAAGUAAAACAACGAGAAUGAAGGCAACUGUAGUUAAUGUACCAUGUAAAAAGUAAAACAACGAGAAUGAAGGCAACUGUAGUUCAUCGUACCAUGUAAAAAGUAAAACAACGAGAAUGAAGGCAACUGUAGUUCACCGCACGAAGUAAAAAAGCAAAAAUACCGAACUCCAAGGAAAAUUGGGAACACACCAAAAGAAAAAAACCAAUGGCCUGAUUUAUGCUGAAACAAUUAAACAAAACAUGGCAGAUAACAACAGACGAUAAAAGCUGAAUCACAGACUCCGGACAUACAGACAGACACAUCAUGUGAUGGACUUCGACACGUUUGUUAAUCCUAAAACCUCCAACCUGAGCUGUGGUCAGUGACUGAACAGAACAAAAUAAGAAAAAAGUGUAAAAUAAUCAGUCAUGAUUGUAAUCCGACUAGAUAAAAUCGGAUGAGUUUUCCCGA
This 1907-nucleotide long non-coding RNA is filed under the name Mytilus galloprovincialis (Mediterranean mussel). Lineage: Eukaryota; Metazoa; Mollusca; Bivalvia; Mytilida; Mytilidae. The record is from RNAcentral.